GAGUUUGAUCAUGGCUCAGGACGAACGCUGGCGGCGUGCCUAAUACAUGCAAGUAGAACGCUGAAGAGAGGAGCUUGCUCUUCUUGGAUGAGUUGCGAACGGGUGAGUAACGCGUAGGUAACCUGCCUUGUAGCGGGGGAUAACUAUUGGAAACGAUAGCUAAUACCGCAUAACAAUAGGUGACACAUGUCAUUUAUUUGAAAGGGGCAAUUGCUCCACUACAAGAUGGACCUGCGUUGUAUUAGCUAGUAGGUGAGGUAACGGCUCACCUAGGCGACGAUACAUAGCCGACCUGAGAGGGUGAUCGGCCAUACUGGGACUGAGACACGGCCCAGACUCCUACGGGAGGCAGCAGUAGGGAAUCUUCGGCAAUGGGGGCAACCCUGACCGAGCAACGCCGCGUGAGUGAAGAAGGUUUUCGGAUCGUAAAGCUCUGUUGUAAGUCAAGAACGAGUGUGAGAGUGGAAAGUUCACACUGUGACGGUAGCUUACCAGAAAGGGACGGCUAACUACGUGCCAGCAGCCGCGGUAAUACGUAGGUCCCGAGCGUUGUCCGGAUUUAUUGGGCGUAAAGCGAGCGCAGGCGGUUUGAUAAAUCUGAAGUUAAAGGCUGUGGCUCAACCAUAGUUCGCUUUGGAAACUGUCAAACUUGAGUGCAGAAGGGGAGAGUGGAAUUCCAUGUGUAGCGGUGAAAUGCGUAGAUAUAUGGAGGAACACCGGUGGCGAAAGCGGCUCUCUGGUCUGUAACUGACGCUGAGGCUCGAAAGCGUGGGGAGCGAACAGGAUUAGAUACCCUGGUAGUCCACGCCGUAAACGAUGAGUGCUAGGUGUUGGAUCCUUUCCGGGAUUCAGUGCCGCAGCUAACGCAUUAAGCACUCCGCCUGGGGAGUACGACCGCAAGGUUGAAACUCAAAGGAAUUGACGGGGGCCCGCACAAGCGGUGGAGCAUGUGGUUUAAUUCGAAGCAACGCGAAGAACCUUACCAGGUCUUGACAUCCCGAUGCUAUUUCUAGAGAUAGAAAGUUACUUCGGUACAUCGGUGACAGGUGGUGCAUGGUUGUCGUCAGCUCGUGUCGUGAGAUGUUGGGUUAAGUCCCGCAACGAGCGCAACCCCUAUUGUUAGUUGCCAUCAUUCAGUUGGGCACUCUAGCGAGACUGCCGGUAAUAAACCGGAGGAAGGUGGGGAUGACGUCAAAUCAUCAUGCCCCUUAUGACCUGGGCUACACACGUGCUACAAUGGUUGGUACAACGAGUUGCGAGUCGGUGACGGCAAGCUAAUCUCUUAAAGCCAAUCUCAGUUCGGAUUGUAGGCUGCAACUCGCCUACAUGAAGUCGGAAUCGCUAGUAAUCGCGGAUCAGCACGCCGCGGUGAAUACGUUCCCGGGCCUUGCACACACCGCCCGUC
This 1405-nucleotide ribosomal RNA is filed under the name uncultured bacterium. Its description in RNAcentral is "bacterial SSU rRNA". It matches the Rfam family "Bacterial small subunit ribosomal RNA". The record is from RNAcentral.